UUGCGCUUUUUCCAGGGCACCGGCGAGCGCCGCGAGCCUGUGGCCGCCGUUUCUCCACCUCCGUUCCACCGUCACCCUCUCCCCGCGACGCCACCGGGAGCGUCCGAUCCGCCCGCGCUCCCGAGCCGCGACCGUCCGAUCCCCGCGCGGGAACUAGUGGCCAGCGUCGCGCGGGCCUUGGACGGCGGCGAUGCGCGCCCCGUCACAUCGUGCGGCUGA
RNAcentral lists this unclassified non-coding RNA (219 nucleotides) under Zea mays. RNAcentral's name for it is "misc RNA Zm00001eb172440". The record is from RNAcentral. Lineage: Eukaryota; Viridiplantae; Streptophyta; Magnoliopsida; Poales; Poaceae.